This 253-nucleotide ribosomal RNA is filed under the name uncultured bacterium. RNAcentral describes it as "partial 16S ribosomal RNA". It matches the Rfam family "Bacterial small subunit ribosomal RNA", at positions 524 to 776 of the family's 1533-position model. The record is from RNAcentral.
UACGAAGGGGGCUAGCGUUGUUCGGAAUCACUGGGCGUAAAGCGCACGUAGGCGGCUUUUUAAGUCAGGGGUGAAAUCCUGGAGCUCAACUCCAGAACUGCCUUUGAUACUGGGAAGCUUGAGUCCGGGAGAGGUGAGUGGAACUCCGAGUGUAGAGGUGAAAUUCGUAGAUAUUCGGAAGAACACCAGUGGCGAAGGCGGCUCACUGGCCCGGUACUGACGCUGAGGCGCGAAAGCGUGGGGAGCAAACAGG